This 451-nucleotide ribosomal RNA is filed under the name uncultured bacterium. RNAcentral describes it as "partial 16S ribosomal RNA". It matches the Rfam family "Bacterial small subunit ribosomal RNA", at positions 354 to 796 of the family's 1533-position model. The record is from RNAcentral.
GUGGGGAAUAUUGCGCAAUGGGGGAAACCCUGACGCAGCGACGCCGUGUGAGGGAAGAAGGCUUUCGGGUCGUAAACCUCUGUCAGAAAGGAAGAACCUCCCAAGUCCGAAUAGGGCUUGGGACUGACGGUACUUUCAAAGGAAGCACCGGCUAACUCCGUGCCAGCAGCCGCGGUAAUACGGAGGGUGCAAGCGUUAAUCGGAAUCACUGGGCGUAAAGCGCGCGUAGGCCGCUUUGUAAGUCGGACGUGAAAGCCCUCGGCUCAACCGGGGAACUGCGUUCGAUACUGGGAUACUUGAGUCCUGGAGAGGGUGGCGGAAUUCCGGGUGUAGGAGUGAAAUCCGUAGAUAUCCGGAGGAACACCGGUGGCGAAGGCGGCCACCUGGACAGGUACUGACGCUGAGGCGCGAAAGCGUGGGGAGCAAACAGGAUUAGAAACCCGGGUAGUCC